Molecule: non-coding RNA, 56 nt
Filed under: unclassified sequences
Description: GP20-b RNA
Rfam family: GP20-b RNA
Source: RNAcentral
UGACCGGAAUGUCGUUAAACUAUCAAGGCAAGGGACGCGACCCCGUUAAAAGCGUA